Oncorhynchus keta (chum salmon) is the source of this 2192-nucleotide long non-coding RNA. RefSeq lists it as uncharacterized. NCBI's taxonomy places the organism in Eukaryota, Metazoa, Chordata, Actinopteri, Salmoniformes, Salmonidae. The record is from RefSeq and is a predicted model, not a curated record. The transcript has 3 exons.
CUAGCGGUUAAGAGUGGGAGGAGAAAUGUUGCAGGGUAAAGGUAUAUCAGAUCGGUGGCAGGUAGCCUAGCGGUUAAGAGUGGGAGGAGAAAUGUUGCAGGGUAAAGGUAUAUCAGAUCGGUGGCAGGUAGCCUAGCGGUUAAGAGUGGGAGGAGAAAUGUUGCAGGGUAAAGGUAUAUCAGAUCGGUGGCAGGUAGCCUAGCGGUUAAGAGUGGGAGGAGAAAUGUUGCAGGGUAAAGGUAUAUCAGAUCGGUGGCAGGUAGCCUAGCGGUUAAGAGUGGGAGGAGAAAUGUUGCAGGGUAAAGGUAUAUCAGAUCGGUGGCAGGUAGCCUAGCGGUUAAGAGUGGGAGGAGAAAUGUUGCAGGGUAAAGGUAUAUCAGAUCGGUGGCAGGUAGCCUAGCGGUUAAGAGUGGGAGGAGAAAUGUUGCAGGGUAAAGGUAUAUCAGAUCGGUGGCAGGUAGCCUAGCGGUUAAGAGUGGGAGGAGAAAUGUUGCAGGGUAAAGGUAUAUCAGAUCGGUGGCAGGUAGCCUAGCGGUUAAGAGUGGGAGGAGAAAUGUUGCAGGGUAAAGGUAUAUCAGAUCGGUGGCAGGUAGCCUAGCGGUUAAGAGUGGGAGGAGAAAUGUUGCAGGGUAAAGGUAUAUCAGAUCGGUGGCAGGUAGCCUAGCGGUUAAGAGUGGGAGGAGAAAUGUUGCAGGGUAAAGGUAUAUCAGAUCGGUGGCAGGUAGCCUAGCGGUUAAGAGUGGGAGGAGAAAUGUUGCAGGGUAAAGGUAUAUCAGAUCGGUGGCAGGUAGCCUAGCGGUUAAGAGUGGGAGGAGAAAUGUUGCAGGGUAACGGUAUAUCAGAUCGGUGGCAGGUAGCCUAGCGGUUAAGAGUGGGAGGAGAAAUGUUGCAGGGUAACGGUAUAUCAGAUCGGUGGCAGGUAGCCUAGCGGUUAAGAGUGGGAGGAGAAAUGUUGCAGGGUAAAGGUAUAUCAGAUCGGUGGCAGGUAGCCUAGCGGUUAAGAGUGGGAGGAGAAAUGUUGCAGGGUAAAGGUAUAUCAGAUCGGUGGCAGGUAGCCUAGCGGUUAAGAGUGGGAGGAGAAAUGUUGCAGGGUAAAGGUAUAUCAGAUCGGUGGCAGGUAGCCUAGCGGUUAAGAGUGGGAGGAGAAAUGUUGCAGGGUAAAGGUAUAUCAGAUCGGUGGCAGGUAGCCUAGCGGUUAAGAGUGGGAGGAGAAAUGUUGCAGGGUAAAGGUAUAUCAGAUCGGUGGCAGGUAGCCUAGCGGUUAAGAGUGGGAGGAGAAAUGUUGCAGGGUAAAGGUAUAUCAGAUCGGUGGCAGGUAGCCUAGCGGUUAAGAGUGGGAGGAGAAAUGUUGCAGGGUAAAGGUAUAUCAGAUCGGUGGCAGGUAGCCUAGCGGUUAAGAGUGGGAGGAGAAAUGUUGCAGGGUAACGGUAUAUCAGAUCGGUGGCAGGUAGCCUAGCGGUUAAGAGUGGGAGGAGAAAUGUUGCAGGGUAAAGGUAUAUCAGAUCGGUGGCAGGUAGCCUAGCGGUUAAGAGUGGGAGGAGAAAUGUUGCAGGGUAAAGGUAUAUCAGAUCGGUGGCAGGUAGCCUAGCGGUUAAGAGUGGGAGGAGAAAUGUUGCAGGGUAAAGGUAUAUCAGAUCGGUGGCAGGUAGCCUAGCGGUUAAGAGUGGGAGGAGAAAUGUUGCAGGGUAAAGGUAUAUCAGAUCGGUGGCAGGUAGCCUAGCGGUUAAGAGUGGGAGGAGAAAUGUUGCAGGGUAAAGGUAUAUCAGAUCGGUGGCAGGUAGCCUAGCGGUUAAGAGUGGGAGGAGAAAUGUUGCAGGGUAAAGGUAUAUCAGAUCGGUGGCAGGUAGCCUAGCGGUUAAGAGUGGGAGGAGAAAUGUUGCAGGGUAAAGGUAUAUCAGAUCGGUGGCAGGUAGCCUAGCGGUUAAGAGUGGGAGGAGAAAUGUUGCAGGGUAAAGGUAUAUCAGAUCAGUGGCAGGUAGCCUAGCGGUUAAGAGCGUUGGGCCAGUAACCCGAAAGAUCGCUGGUUCCAAACCCUGAGCCGGCUAGGUGAAACAUCUGUUGAUGUGACCUUGGGCAAGGGACUUAACCUUUAUUGCAUUUAAAUGGCUUUUUACAUUAAAAGAAUAGCAAGACUGUGAUUAAUGGACACCUGGUGUGUGUGUGUGCUGCUAUGCUUGUGUGUGUGUGCUGCU